Molecule: small RNA, 390 nt
Filed under: Histoplasma capsulatum
Lineage: Eukaryota; Fungi; Ascomycota; Eurotiomycetes; Onygenales; Ajellomycetaceae
Also listed under: 1 other name
Description: hypothetical RNA
Source: RNAcentral
CAUGACCUUAGUAUCGCUUGCAUUUUCGAUCUUAAUGGGAUUAACCUCAUCUCCAUUGGAUGAGGAUGGAACAAGACUGCUUUCCCCAUCACCUUUUCUCGAUUGCUCUGUUGCACCUAUCCCUGCUAUUCCUAUAACAGGCUCAGGCUUCACAUUAGUUAAUACCUCUGCCACCGCCGUUAGCUUUCUCCCGGACACUGUUUCAGGCAGGGCCGACGGCUUAGUCGGGUGCGAUGUGUCUGACUCCGAGCUGCCACAACCUCCUUCAUCACCUGGAUCCGUAGCAGAAGUCUUCUUCUUCCUUCUACCUCCACGAGUCUUCUUUUUUUUCGUUGGCCCUUCAGAUGCAAUGCUAGCGUGGGCUAUGCCGUCAUUCAGAUUUCCACCCCU